GACGAACGCUGGCGGCGUGCCUAACACAUGCAAGUCGAACGGAGCAAAGCCCUUCGGGACUUUACUUAGUGGCGAACGGGUGAGUAACGCGUGAGGAACCUGCCUUCCAGUGGGGGACAACAGUUGGAAACGACUGCUAAUACCGCAUGAUGCUUUUGAGGGACAUCCCUUAAAAGUCAAAGCUUUAUGUGCUGGAAGAUGGCCUCGCGUCUGAUUAGCUAGUUGGUGGGGUAACGGCUCACCAAGGCGACGAUCAGUAGCCGGUCUGAGAGGAUGAACGGCCACAUUGGGACUGAGAUACGGCCCAGACUCCUACGGGAGGCAGCAGUGGGGAAUAUUGCACAAUGGGCGAAAGCCUGAUGCAGCGACGCCGCGUGAGUGAAGAAGUAUUUCGGUAUGUAAAGCUCUAUCAGCAGGGAAGACAGUGACGGUACCUGACUAAGAAGCUCCGGCUAAAUACGUG
This 463-nucleotide ribosomal RNA is filed under the name uncultured bacterium. RNAcentral describes it as "bacterial SSU rRNA". It matches the Rfam family "Bacterial small subunit ribosomal RNA", at positions 28 to 507 of the family's 1533-position model. The record is from RNAcentral.